UACCUGCAGCUCAAGUGGUGAUCAUUAUUAUUGGGCCUAGAACGUCCGUAGCCGGUUUAGUAAAUGCCUGGGUAAAUCGUGUAGCUUAACUAUACGACUUCCGGGUAGACUACUAAACUUGAGACCGGGAGAGGCUAGAGGUACUCCUGGGGUAGAGGUGAAAUUCUGUAAUCCUAGGGGGACCACCAGUGGCGAAGGCGUCUAGCUAGAACGGGUCUGACGGUGAGGGACGAAGCCCUGGGGCACAAACCGGAUUAGAUACCCGGGUAGUCCAGGGUGUAAACGCUGCUUGCUUGAUGUUAGUUGGGCUCCGAGCCCAACUAGUGUCGGAGAGAAGUUGUUAAGCAAGCUGCCUGGGAAGUACGGUCGCAAGGCUGAAACUUAAAAGAAUUGGCGGGGAGCACAGCAACGGGUGGAGCGUGCGGUUU
This 428-nucleotide ribosomal RNA is filed under the name uncultured archaeon. RNAcentral describes it as "bacterial SSU rRNA". It matches the Rfam family "Archaeal small subunit ribosomal RNA", at positions 474 to 903 of the family's 1478-position model. The record is from RNAcentral.